ACAGGUGAGCAGGACGUGACCAUACCUGGCAGCCUCGUCCUCCUACCGAUAAGAGGUAUCACGGCGGCCCUCACCAGUCACCACCACUAUCGCCACCUCGUGAUGUAACGCCCCUCCUGCCUGUCCUCUCUCCUCUCAACGGUAUACACGCUACAAGGCUUUCAACACCAGCUGUUCUCUCGGCCCGCUGGAGGACAUGAUCACAUCCCAAGGUUCGUGGCGCCGCUGGCCCUGGAGGUUCGGGAGCGCCCCUCCUCUCACCUCCUCGCCCCACCCACACGCGACCUUCAACACAAGGCAACCUCCACGACUCAGAGCAACACCACAGGAGGCAAAAUGUAAAUAGACUGAGUUAUGGCGCUGCACCACCACAGGAGGGAGAGAGGAUGGGACGGAGAGCGAGUCCUUCAGAGUCAUCUCCUACCAUCACCACCACCCACAUGACCAACACCACUGCCAGCGUCAUAUUCUAGAACGAUCUGCUACCUUAUCGCGACUAUGUAUAAAACAGAAUUGUAUAAGUUAUUUGAAGUUUCUAAAGGCGUUUUUAUUAGUCUAAUGAUGGGUUAAUGAAAUAUGGUAGAAACAAAAAAUGAAAGAAUAUUUUUCUGGAAUGUUUUCAUAAUCUAAAUUAUGGUUGAACAAAAAUCUCUGUCGGGAAUAGGGAAAUAAUGUUUUAUGAGAGUGUUUUCAUGAUUAUAAUGAGACUUUAACAAAGAUUCUAUACUAUUACUAAGGCAAAAGUGUUCUAAGGAUAUUUCCAUGAUUACAAUGAUCGCUCAAAAAAAAUAUUCCAUGGCAUGAAUAUAAGUAAAUAGGGUUGU
Portunus trituberculatus (swimming crab) is the source of this 824-nucleotide long non-coding RNA. RefSeq lists it as uncharacterized. NCBI's taxonomy places the organism in Eukaryota, Metazoa, Arthropoda, Malacostraca, Decapoda, Portunidae. The transcript has 3 exons. The record is from RefSeq and is a predicted model, not a curated record.